AUUUACUUGCCCUAUUAACUCUGAGAGGCAGAAUAUAGAACACAUUCUUGCUUGUAGUCAUAAUUCUACUCUCCCUGGCCCUCCCUCCCUCUCUGACUUUCAAAAGGUUUAAUGAGAUGAACAGCUUUUCAGCUAUCAGCAAAGUGUGAUCUUACCUGCGAUAUCUGUGUGACAAGAACAUUCUACAAGGAAAACACAUGAAGAUAUAUCUACAUAGAAGGAUUAAUUAACUCUGUGUCUCUCUCGGUAGAUACAACAUUUAAGAACGGCUCAUCUUUCCUUAACAAAUAAGGAGACACGUGUAAUAUUUAAAUACACUGCAGUAAAUCAGGUAAGUGGAUUCGUCUAGGUAUUAGCAGUUUUGACCAAGUACAAUCUCGUUUUAAAUCCUUUUGGAAUAAAAUGCUGUGAUGAAACUAAAACGUAUAGGUUAAAUAACAAC
Non-coding RNA from Pelobates cultripes (western spadefoot toad), 442 nucleotides. The record is from the annotation of a GenBank genome assembly. NCBI's taxonomy places the organism in Eukaryota, Metazoa, Chordata, Amphibia, Anura, Pelobatidae.